UAAAUAUUUCUAAGGAAAAGAUCAAUUUUAUGUUUCUGUCUCAUGAAGAUAAGAAAAUUUACAAAAAUAUUCUACAGUAAAUGAAAAACACUCUUAUUUAGGCUGUUUGAGGCCUAGAUAAGAUGUAUAUCCUGAUGCAGCUAGGACGCCUUUUUAGAUGAGGCGUCUAUAUACCUUGGGAUAUAGCUCAUUUGGGUCAAGCAAGCCCAUAAAACAGCCGCUCAGCACCAGGACCUUGGGACUUUCUAUUUAUAACGUUCCCGAAGUCUCCCUUGGUAGUUUUUUCCUCUACAAAAUGUUGUCACUACCGCCUCUCAUUGUGCCACUAGGCGGCACUCUAAGUUCAUCGUAAAUGCGAGGACCGAGCGCCAACUAAAAUAUGCUGCAGGCAUCUCCAUUGUGCAAAAUUGGUAGCAGUUUGGGUUUUAUUUCAUUCAAACUUUAGAAUGGAAAAUGAUUGUUUCUAAACGAGGCAACAAGGCAGGCCGUAUGGUUUAACUGAGUCUGAGAGUAUGUGGUCUUUGGAAUACGGUUACUGCGUCAUCUCCCUCUACAGGGCAUCAUCUCAGACCAGGAAGGCAAAGCUGCCGGGCACAGUAACAGGGUUGCAGUGACACCUGAGGGUGGCCCUCUCCUCCUCUGUGCUGCUCCCUUUGGACGUGGGAACUGGAAGAUGCCUUGGUCGCCUAGGAAGUCAACUGCUGCUUCUCAAGCGGUUUAUAAGACCCAAAGAUCUUGUCCAGUCCUGCGCAUGCGAAUAGAGGUGACGUCUCUAAUCAGCAGCCUCAGAAGGAACGCUUUUCACUCCAGGAGGGCAGAGGGGAGGCCGACUGCGGGACUCGUCUCGCCCUGAUGCCUAGGCUGGAGUCUGGAGUGCAGUGUUAUGAUCUCGGCUCACUUCAACCUCUGCCCAGGCUGGAGUCUGGAGUGCAGUGUUAUGAUCUCGGCUCACUUCAACCUCUGCCCAGGCUGGAGUCUGGAGUGCAGUGUUAUGAUCUCGGCUCACUUCAACCUCUGCCUUCUGAGUUCAAGUGAUUCUCCUGCCUCAGCCUCCUGAGCAGUUGGGAUUACAGGCGUGAGCCACCUCGUCUGGCUGGGAUUUCUUGAUAGACUACAAAAAGGGGAUGCUGAAAAGGGAAUGGGGCUUUUGGGUUCAGAUUAGGCCAGACAGGUUGAUGAUAUCAGAAGGUGUCCAUGUAGAGAUAAAUGGAAUAUUACAUAUCCUAUUGUAUUUAAUUUUCACAAAAUCAUGUAAGAUUAGGAUAAGUAUUGGAUCUCCAUUUCACAGAUGAUACCGAACUUGCUGUACCUUCAAUCUGUUUCCUGAGUGUGAAUAUGUGCCCUUUUCUACCUUUAAAUUCUUUGUCUUAUGUUUUGGUUCAUUUGGAUUCUCCUUGCUGGACACUUUCUCUCUGAACACAUUCGAUUUAUCUGUAUCCCUCUCUAGUCGUGGCCUCCAGUAGAACACUGCAGCACUGCAGCUGGUCUGAUAACACAGAGUAGAACAAGAUCUUCUGAUUUAGGAAGUAUACUUCUAUUCACCUACUAUAACAUAUGAAUGACUCCUAGGAAAUCAGUUGAUCUGGGAUUGAGAGGUCAAGUUUGUAUGAAACCCUGAGAAAAUAGCAUUUAAGACUGAAAGCAAACUGCUAAGAAACAUAAGGAAGGGUCCUAUAUAAUACUUCUGGUGUACAAUGUAAGACAUUAUUUUCUCACAGUUUUUUAUCCAGAUUUCCUCAUACUUUAAUGCCAUUUUUAUGUUUACAAAUUAAUUAUUGGACUGUUGCUGCUAGGAAAGAAAAAGUGAGUAAAGUACACAUAUAUGCCUUUUUAUAUAUUUGAUUUAUAGUAGAUAUUUAGCCAAGAUCAACAGUGAAUGUUGACAGUGUAUCCAGCUGGAGGAAUCUUUUUUUUUGGAGUGGUUAUUCUGUUACAUUCACCUUCCCUAAAAAUCUUUGAUUUAUGGCUCACUAGAGUUCUACUUAAAUGAAAUCCAAUGUAUUCGCUAAGUUUUUUUUUCCAUAUAAUUCCAACUCUAUACUCAGUGCCUUACUUUCUUUAAUCAGUAGCAGAAUAAAAUUUGAAACUGGCUUUACAAUUUUAAUUUACAUAACACCUUUUCAGUGGCUCAUUACAUUUCCUUUGCUUCAGUAAGAUUCAGGUGGUAAACAGUCAAUA
Molecule: long non-coding RNA, 2178 nt
Organism: Callithrix jacchus (white-tufted-ear marmoset)
Lineage: Eukaryota; Metazoa; Chordata; Mammalia; Primates; Cebidae
Source: RefSeq, a predicted model, not a curated record